RNAcentral lists this ribosomal RNA (491 nucleotides) under uncultured Desulfobulbus sp. Its description in RNAcentral is "bacterial SSU rRNA". It matches the Rfam family "Bacterial small subunit ribosomal RNA", at positions 896 to 1382 of the family's 1533-position model. The record is from RNAcentral. Lineage: Bacteria; Pseudomonadati; Thermodesulfobacteriota; Desulfobulbia; Desulfobulbales; Desulfobulbaceae.
GAAACUUAAAGGAAGUUGACGGGGCCCGCACAAGCGGUGGAGUAUGUGGUUAAUUCGAUGCAACGCGAAGAACCUUACCUGGUCUUGACAUCCCGGAGACCCUUAGGAAACUAGGGGGUGCUUCCAUCUGGAAGAAUCUGGAGACAGGUGCUGCAUGGCUGUCGUCAGCUCGUGUCGUGAGAUGUUGGGUUAAGUCCCGCAACGAGCGCAACCCUUGCCUUUAGUUGCCAGCAGUUCGGCUGGGCACUCUAAAGGGACUGCCGGUGUUAAACCGGAGGAAGGUGGGGAUGACGUCAAGUCCUCAUGGCCUUUAUGACCAGGGCUACACACGUACUACAAUGGCCGAUACAAAGGGCAGCGACACUGCGAGGUGAAGCCAAUCCCGUAAAAUCGGUCUCAGUCCGGAUUGGAGUCUGCAACUCGACUCCAUGAAGUUGGAAUCGCUAGUAAUCGUGGAUCAGCAUGCCACGGUGAAUACGUUCCCGGGCCUU